AGCAGUAGCCGCGGUAAUACGUAGGUGGCAAGCGUUGUCCGGAAUUAUUGGGCGUAAAGGGCUCGCAGGCGGUUUCUUAAGUCUGAUGUGAAAGCCCCCGGCUCAACCGGGGAGGGUCAUUGGAAACUGGGAAACUUGAGUGCAGAAGAGGAGAGCGGAAUUCCAUGUGUAGCGGUGAAAUGCGUAGAUAUAUGGAGGAACACCAGUGGCGAAGGCGGCUCUCUGGUCUGUAACUGACGCUGAGGCUCGAAAGCGUGGGGAGCAAACAGGAUUAGAGACCCCCGUAGUCCCUGUCUCUUAUAA
Molecule: ribosomal RNA, 303 nt
Filed under: uncultured bacterium
Lineage: Bacteria
Description: partial 16S ribosomal RNA
Rfam family: Bacterial small subunit ribosomal RNA
Source: RNAcentral